This 468-nucleotide ribosomal RNA is filed under the name uncultured bacterium. Its description in RNAcentral is "partial 16S ribosomal RNA". It matches the Rfam family "Bacterial small subunit ribosomal RNA", at positions 28 to 507 of the family's 1533-position model. The record is from RNAcentral.
GACGAACGCUGGCGGCGUGCUUAACACAUGCAAGUCGAACGGAAAGGCCCUGCUUUUGUGGGGUGCUCGAGUGGCGAACGGGUGAGUAACACGUGAGUAACCUGCCCUUGACUUUGGGAUAACUUCAGGAAACUGGGGCUAAUACCGGAUAGGAGCUCCUGCUGCAUGGUGGGGGUUGGAAAGUUUCGGCGGUUGGGGAUGGACUCGCGGCUUAUCAGCUUGUUGGUGGGGUAGUGGCUUACCAAGGCUUUGACGGGUAGCCGGCCUGAGAGGGUGACCGGCCACAUUGGGACUGAGAUGCGGCCCAGACUCCUACGGGAGGCAGCAGUGGGGAAGAGUGCACUAUGCGCGGAAGCCUGAUGCAGCAACGCCGCGUGCGGGAUGACGGCCUUCGGGUUGUAUUCCGCUUUCGCCUGCGACGAAGCGUGAGUGACGGUAACGGGUAAAGAAGCACCGGCUAACUACGUG